AACCAGGGGGCUAAGUUGUAUAGGACGGUAAAAAGACAGUUAAGCGAUAGAAUAAUAGGUUAAUAUUCACUGUAUUAUCGGGAGGUAGAAUUCGAAGAUAGACAAGUAUACUUAAUAAGACCAAUUAUGCUGAAGCUGUGAUAACUUUGAGGGAAACUAGGAUUAGAUACCCUACUAUUCAUAGAAGUAAAUAAGAAAAUUCUACCAGAGUACUAAGAACAAAUAAUUUAAAACUCAAAGAGCUUGGCGGUGUUUUAGACUACUUAGGGGAACCUGUCUCAUAAUCGACAAUCCACGCUAAACCUAACCUUCUUUUGCACUCAGUUUGUAUACCGUCGUCGCCAGGUAACUUUUAAGAAAUAAACAGUUAGCUAGCUAAAUACUUAAGUUAAGACGUCAGAUCAAGGUGCAGCUAAUAAUAAGGUGUAGAUGGGUUACAAUUACAAAAUUCGUAAUAACGGACAACAGCCUUAAAGGCAAUUGAAAAGGAGGACUUAAAAGUAAAAUAGAUUUAUAUAAAAAUAUCUUGAAUAAAGCUCUGAAACGUGC
RNAcentral lists this ribosomal RNA (549 nucleotides) under Gemmulimitra avenacea. Its description in RNAcentral is "partial 12S ribosomal RNA". Lineage: Eukaryota; Metazoa; Mollusca; Gastropoda; Neogastropoda; Mitridae. The record is from RNAcentral.